This 538-nucleotide long non-coding RNA is filed under the name Olea europaea subsp. europaea. Lineage: Eukaryota; Viridiplantae; Streptophyta; Magnoliopsida; Lamiales; Oleaceae. The record is from RNAcentral.
UUUUUUUUUUACAAGGUGUCCUAUUCUAGACUAAUCCUUGGGUCUGUGAUCCGGCCCCUCUUCACACAGUCCGGUUAAUCGCAGGAUGUGCCUCCAACUGGCCAGGGUCCGAGCGCUCCCCACCUGGUCUGACAAAGUGCCAAGCAAGUCAAUCCAAGUUGCACCUUGCCUUCCAAGAAUAAUCCUUGCCUUCCAAGUUCCCACUUGCCUUCCAAGAAUAAAUCCUUGCCUUCCAAAUGUUCCCUUGCCUUCCAAGAAUAAAUUCUUGCCUUCCAAGAGCCCCAUGUUUCGAACUCACGACCUCUGCUCUGCCAGGUUUGACAGCGUCCGUCCUUUGCCAGUGGAGAAGUGCCCUGGGGGGCCGCACAAUUGUUGUAUUUGUUACUAGGUCGGGAUGUCCAUGCUCUUGGAAAUCUCUUUGCGUAUGGAGGUCGAGGCCUCGUAUGUCUGAAGUAAAGUGUAGUGUCGAUAGUAUUUGACCUUGUCCCCGAUUCUAGCUGACCCUAAUAUAAAUAAUUUAUAGAUGAGGAAAUCAUUC